Molecule: ribosomal RNA, 468 nt
Filed under: uncultured bacterium
Lineage: Bacteria
Description: partial 16S ribosomal RNA
Rfam family: Bacterial small subunit ribosomal RNA
Source: RNAcentral
GACGAACGCUGGCGGCGUGCUUAACACAUGCAAGUCGAACGGAAAGGCCCUGCUUUUGUGGGGUGCUCGAGUGGCGAACGGGUGAGUAACACGUGAGUAACCUGCCCUUGACUUUGGGAUAACUUCAGGAAACUGGGGCUAAUACCGGAUAGGAGCUCCUGCUGCAUGGUGGGGGUUGGAAAGUUUCGGCGGUUGGGGAUGGACUCGCGGCUUAUCAGCUUGUUGGUGGGGUAGUGGCUUACCAAGGCUUUGACGGGUAGCCGGCCUGAGAGGGUGACCGGCGAAAUUGGGACUGAGAUACGGCCCAGACUCCUACGGGAGGCAGCGGUGGGGAAUAUUGCACAAUGGGCGGAAGCCUGAUGCAGCAACGCCGCGUGCGGGAUGACGGCCUUCGGGUUGUAAACCGAUUUCGCCUGUGACGAAGCGUGAGUGACGGUAAUGGGUAAAGAAGCACCGGCUAACUACGUG